AGUUUUUAUUUUUAUUUUUGUUUUUUUCUUUAGCCUUCAUUCUUUGGUCAUAGUUCUCCAGGGAAGCCAGAGCAAUUCACAGGUGUCCAGAUUGGCUUGUACAUUGUGUUCAAGAGGACAGGAUUUGGAAUCCAAGAUGGCUCCCAGAGUCCUGAAAGUCUUUUCGAAGACUUCUUCACACGAGAACCCAGUCAACUAUGCUACAACACUGACUUUAGAUAGAACACUAUGACCAUGUUUAUUUUUAAAGACAGAAAAACUGUUUUUUUUUUUUAACUUCAGUAACCUUUUAAACCUGACUGCUGUCCCUCGUUAGUGAUGAUGAUGAUGUUGACGUCUCGAUGGAAGACUCUAUGGAGGACUUCCUCUCUAUGGAUGAAGACUUCAGUGGAAUUGAAGAAUUCUUAAAUGGGAGUGUUUUGUGGGUUUUUUUCCCUGCUGAGCAGGUGGUGCUCUGGUCGCUUCCCUUUGGAAGCAUGAAGAAGAAGAGUUUGAUUGAUUGAUUGAUUGAUUGAUUGAUUGAAAACGAACUGUAGUGAAGUCAGGCGGUACUCCUGCUCGGGGCUUGAACCUGGAUCUUUUCUGUCAACCCAACACUUUAGCCAAGAGAUCCAAAACCUCUUGACGAGGUCACUAGGUGUUGGAUUAUGUUAAACGACGGUGAAGUGAGACAUUUUACCAUAGUUCUUAACGUUCACACACACUCCACUGAAGCUGAGCGUUUCCUAAAAUGGACACCAUACCACUGUUUACACUAUCUGACCACGCUGUUAUUACACUCACAGGGAGCUUGUCACAGAAAGAGAGCCCAUCCCCGAACUUUAAAAUGGUGAAAGCCUUCAAUGAUGCUGCCCACACUAAAACUGGCUYUGUGGCCAGUGUGUCCUCUAUCUAUCUCUAUGGCCUCAGCCCUUCCCCUGUCUAGUCCAGACAUGCUGUGGGACUCAUUAACUCCUCAAUCUCAGUGUUUGAAAUGGAACCAGAAGCCAAACGGUGAUAUUAUUAGACAUCAUGUAUUUUUGUAUGUAUGAAAAAAAAAAAGGCAAAGAUUUUAAAAUACAUUUCUCAAAGAGGAAUAAAUAAAAUGCUAAAUUAGA
This is a long non-coding RNA of Salvelinus sp. IW2-2015, 1097 nucleotides long. RefSeq lists it as uncharacterized. The record is from RefSeq and is a predicted model, not a curated record. NCBI's taxonomy places the organism in Eukaryota, Metazoa, Chordata, Actinopteri, Salmoniformes, Salmonidae.